Triticum urartu is the source of this 601-nucleotide non-coding RNA. The record is from RefSeq and is a predicted model, not a curated record. NCBI's taxonomy places the organism in Eukaryota, Viridiplantae, Streptophyta, Magnoliopsida, Poales, Poaceae.
GUCACGCGCGCUAGCACAGAUUGUUCCUUCCUUCCUGUUCAAAAGAAGUGUUUCGCCGCUUUGUCUAUUUUAGUAUCCAGGUUCCCCUCCUCCACCUCCACCACUGCAUCAACCACGACGCGUUUCUUUCUCCUCCGGCCUUGGACUGGCGCCGGCGCCGGCAGAUUCGGGCUCCAGACCGACUGACUCCUCGUGGGAAUUAGGAGGUCCAAGAUCGCGGGUGAAUCCGGAGGGAUCGAUGAACAAGACGCCGACCAUGCGGAUCCAGCGCCGUGGGAUGUUCUAGUGGCGCCACCGAUCGAUUGCAAUCCGUAGGAGAUGGAUAGGGUGACCAAUUUCUUCGGAGCGCGGCGGGACACGACGACGACAACGACGACGACGAGCCUCUCUGCGACGACGACGAGCCUCUCUGAGUCCUGCGGCAACCUAUACAAGUUCCUUUUGCCCAGGUUCUGGCGUCCUGUGAGUCAACCGGAUGAUUGUGAUGGUGCCUUCACUAACGCAACCUCAGAGCGACGUCUUCAUGAUCCUGAGAGGGCACUGGUCGUGAUGUAUGGCGAUCGACAUCUAUACUACCUGAAUGCUGUUCCAUUUUCGAUUU